GGGGCACUGUGAAGAUUUUUCGCACAGGGCACCCAAAGGCCGGCCCUGAUUGUGUGUGAGGUGUGUGUAUGAAGAUUGUCAGCUGUAAUUGUGCGGGCUGCUAGUGAAGCUGUGUGUGUUUGUGGGUUGUUUGAACCAUUUCAUACCUCCCAAGUGUUCCUAGUUAAGAGGGGCAGUCCUGGUUUUGGGCCCAAAUUCCUAAUGUCCCUCUACAGUAUUCUAGAAUCUCCAUAUAGUUGGUAUGUUUUAGCGUAUAACAGAACUCCACAACAAUAAUAAGCGAUCACAGAUCAUGGCAAAAAUAAGCAUUGAAAGUUCAGUCUGUGUAAAUAAGAUAAUAAUAACAAAGUAUUUUACCACGAAAGGUACAUUCAGAUUACUCUGGUUUUCAAGUACGUCCUGGGGAUAAUAUGCAUUGUUCUUGUUUUAAAUUACAUUUUAUAUGCAUAAAUUGCUAUUGAUACGUCACCAAAAAUUUGCUAGAACAGACUCACUCCUGGCCACACCCCUAAAAUUAGUGUCCCUCUUUGUCCAUCUGAAAUGUUUGGAGGCAUAGUGCCUGUCACUAGAAUGACCCUCAUCAGUAAUCCUGGCUCUGGGUAGGAUGGUGCAGGCAUCAAAUUAAGGAGGGCUCCUUUUCCCAACGUUUGGAAUUUUCUUUCACAGGUAAAAGAGGAGAGAAAUGACAGUGUUAUAUCGGUGUUCUAAUUCACAAAGCAGUAACCAUGGCAAUGCACUAUGUGAAUAAAAACACAUUGCUAUCUCUAGCUUCCCUACCAGGGCUGCCCCUGAGGUCACGUGCCCUGAUGACGUUCUGUCACAGAACGCCGCGACAUCAGCGCAGCCUAACAGUUGACUUGAAAGAGGCGGAGUCAAGUCGCUCUUCC
Pelobates cultripes (western spadefoot toad) is the source of this 887-nucleotide non-coding RNA. Lineage: Eukaryota; Metazoa; Chordata; Amphibia; Anura; Pelobatidae. The record is from the annotation of a GenBank genome assembly.